UGGGGAAUAUUGGACAAUGGGCGCAAGCCUGAUCCAGCCAUGCCGCGUGAGUGAUGAAGGCCCUAGGGUUGUAAAGCUCUUUCACCGGUGAAGAUAAUUACGGUAACCGGAGAAGAAGCCCCGGCUAACUUCGUGCCAGCAGCCGCGGUAAUACGAAGGGGGCUAGCGUUGUUCGGAUUUACUGGGCGUAAAGCGCACGUAGGCGGACUUUUAAGUCAGGGGUGAAAUCCCGGGGCUCAACCCCGGAACUGCCUUUGAUACUGGAAGUCUUGAGUAUGGUAGAGGUGAGUGGAAUUCCGAGUGUAGAGGUGAAAUUCGUAGAUAUUCGGAGGAACACCAGUGGCGAAGGCGGCUCACUGGACCAUUACUGACGCUGAGGUGCGAAAGCGUGGGGAGCAAACAGG
Molecule: ribosomal RNA, 404 nt
Filed under: Actinomycetes bacterium
Lineage: Bacteria; Bacillati; Actinomycetota; Actinomycetes
Description: Actinobacteria bacterium partial 16S ribosomal RNA
Rfam family: Bacterial small subunit ribosomal RNA
Source: RNAcentral